Molecule: unclassified non-coding RNA, 433 nt
Filed under: soil metagenome
Description: partial contains 5.8S ribosomal RNA, internal transcribed spacer 2, and large subunit ribosomal RNA
Rfam family: 5.8S ribosomal RNA (bases 1-120)
Source: RNAcentral
GAUGAAGAACGCAGCGAAAUGCGAUACGUAAUGUGAAUUGCAGAAUUCAGUGAAUCAUCGAAUCUUUGAACGCAUAUUGCGCUCUCUGGUAUUCCGGAGAGCACGCUUGUUUGAGUAUCAGUAAACACCUCAACUUCCAUAUCUUUUUUUGAAAUGGGAGUUGGACUUGAGUGAUCCCAACGCUUUUCCUCACCGAAAAGUGGCGGGUUACUUGAAAUGCAGGUGCAGCUGGACUUUUCUCUGAGCUAUAAGCAUAUCUAUUUAGUCUGCCUAAAAAACAGAUUAUUACCUUUGCUGCAGCUAACAUAAAGGAGAUUAGUUCUUGUGCUGACUGAUGCAGGAUUCACAAAGACAGCUUCGGCCGACUUUGUAAACUCGAUCUCAAAUCAAGUAAGACUACCCGCUGAACUUAAGCAUAUCAAUAAGCGGAGGA